This 2437-nucleotide long non-coding RNA is filed under the name Sus scrofa (pig). RNAcentral describes it as "lncRNA (ENSSSCG00050001097.1)". Lineage: Eukaryota; Metazoa; Chordata; Mammalia; Artiodactyla; Suidae. The record is from RNAcentral.
CAGCCUUCCUGUGGCCACCUGACUGCUGUGUGUCCUCUGCCCCAGUGUCCUGUAAGCCACUGGCCCUCACCUCCAGGGCCAGUCCCUGCUGGGUUCUCACAAGAACUUGAAGAGGAAAGGGAGGCCCAGAGAGAGUAAGAGACUCAGCGCGGUCGCCCAGCGAGGAGGCGACUGAACAAACCCAGGCCCACAUGGUCACGGGGCCACUGGGCCCCUCACCCCACCACACACGGAACCAGGAGCUGCUGCCCCGCCAGAGCCCCUGGACGGCGGGGGGGGGGGGGGGGAGCGGCCNCCCCCGCCCCGCGCUGCACACACUGCAUUGGAAUGAACUGCGGUGACCCUGCCCCACAGAGAUCCGGCUCCAGUUUCCCCGCUGGCAGUCAGUUAUUCCAUCCAGAUGCCUGUGAAGUGUGCUGGACGCGCUGGGCUCCUGCCUCAUGAAUCAGGGAGUGGGGCCUCGGGAGGGAUGCACCCCCCCUUCCUGGGAACGACCUGGGACUUGUUCCAGGUGCUUUUCCCACCCCCGCAGGGGAGGGGCGACGGGCUGUGGUGGGGGCUGUGGGGAGGCUGGGACCCCUCCCUGGCCUUCCCCCCUCACCCCAGGGGCCCAGGAUCAGGAGGACCCAGGAGGGACCCUGUGCCAACCUAGGGACCACGAGGCCCUGGCCAGCAGAGGGCUCCCCCAUGGGCCAAGUGCUCAGCAGUGGCCAGAGGCAGGGCAGCCCUGGGGGUAUGAAGGGCCUGGUCACCUUGGGCCCCCUGACCCUCAGGAGCUGAGGGUCCCCAUGCAGGGCCCGUGGGCGUGAUGUGAUGUGAGCUGUCACUCUCCACUCCCUCUCCCACACCUCCAUCCAGGACCUUGGGCUGUCACUCUCCACUCCCUCUCCCCACCCCUCCAUCCUGGCCCUUGGGCUGUCACUCUCCACUCCCUCUCCCACCCCUCCAUCCUGGACCUUGGGCUGUCACUCUCCACGCCCUCUCCCACACCUCCAUCCUGGACCUUGGGCUGUCACUCUCCUCUCCCUCUCCCACACCUCCAUCCUGGACCUUGGGCUGUCACUCCCCCAUCCCUCCCCCACACCUCCAUCCUGGACCUUGGGCUGUCACUCCCCCAUCCCUCCCCCACACCUCCAUCCUGGACCUUGGGCUGUCCCUCUCCACUCCCUCUCCCACACCUCCAUCCAGGACCUUGGGCUGUCACUCUCCACUCCCUCCCCCCCACCUCCAUCCUGGACCUUGGGCUGUCACUCUCCUCUCCCUCUCCCACACCUCCAUCCUGGACCUUGGGCUGUCACUCCCCCAUCCCUCCCCCACACCUCCAUCCUGGACCUUGGGCUGUCACUCUCCACUCCCUCCCCCACACCUCCAUCCUGGACCUUGGGAUGCUUCCCGAGGCACCCCACCCACGGCCCUGCCCCGUCACCUCCUCUUGGCUGCCCCUCGGGCUCCUCUCCACAGGGCAGCCACAGGGACACCAUGGGAGAGCUGUCCAGACCUCCCUGCCAGCUGCUUCCCCGGGCUCCCGAGUCAGCGUCUGAGCCACACCCCCAGGCUGCACAGCCCCCACCCCACUGCAGGGCCAGGCCAACAGGGACGGGCUGAGGCCACGCACUCUGGUUAUCUCGGCGCCACCCCGGGCCACCGUGUGACACACUCACCAGCUGGAGGGCACAACACUGACUGCCCGCUGAGGCCUCGUUCCCACGCUCCUUCUGCCCAGCUCACCCUGCCAGGCAGACGCGCACCCUCUGCACACAGCCCUGUGGCAGCAGAGCAUUCCUAGUCCCUCAGUGAGGCCACCUGAGGGCUCCCAGAUCUGGGGGGACUGGACGUGCCCCUGAGGGCUCCCCGUGCAGAGGCCUCGGUGAGCGGGGUCCCUGGCCUCCUGCUCACCCUUCAGGACACCGCAGGCUCCACCCGGCUGUUCUCAGAUGAGCCCAGAGCCCAGAGCCACCACAGGCUGGGAGGACUUGGCCUGGCUUCAAAUAUAACUCUGGAAUUUUAAGAGCAAUGUGCUAUUUAGGUUAACGUGGGCCACAGCCCAUUUCCCUCCCCAAACCAAGGUCCAGGAGGCCCACUCAUCCCAGCUAAGGGUGUGUCUGUAAGAGCGACCACAAGCCAGAGUUGUGACACAGGCUAGUGUCACAAAGGCUAGUGCCCUGGGGGCCUGGGGGAGGGGCUGGGAGGACCUGGGGCGACCCUAGGGGUGAGGUCUGGACCCAUCCCCAGGAGCAGAGCCCUGGGCACAGCGAGGAGUCAAGACAAGCAGGCAGGGCCCUGGGACCAGGCGAGAGGCUCCAUCCUGAGCCUUGGCCGGCCCCUCACCUGGGGGAACCCCGCCCCCGAGCCUGCUCCUGGUGCAUCAGUGGUGGCCUUGCCUGGUGGAGCCGGCCCACCGUGAGGUACCCAAGCUCCUCAGGGAGCAGCUGUGAGU